This 16-nucleotide microRNA is filed under the name Macrophomina phaseolina MS6. Its description in RNAcentral is "miR-4267". Lineage: Eukaryota; Fungi; Ascomycota; Dothideomycetes; Botryosphaeriales; Botryosphaeriaceae. The record is from RNAcentral.
UCCAGCAUGGUGGCAC